Molecule: ribosomal RNA, 301 nt
Filed under: uncultured bacterium
Lineage: Bacteria
Description: partial 16S ribosomal RNA
Rfam family: Bacterial small subunit ribosomal RNA
Source: RNAcentral
CAGCAGCCGCGGUAAUACGAAGGGUGCAAGCGUUACUCGGAAUUACUGGGCGUAAAGCGUGCGUAGGUGGUGGUUUAAGUCCGUUGUGAAAGCCCUGGGCUCAACCUGGGAAUUGCAGUGGAUACUGGGUCACUAGAGUGUGGUAGAGGAUAGUGGAAUUUCCGGUGUAGCAGUGAAAUGCGUAGAGAUCGGAAGGAACAUCUGUGGCGAAGGCGACUAUCUGGGCCAACGCUGACACUGAGGCACGAAAGCGUGGGGAGCAAACAGGAUUAGAUACCCCUGUAGUCCCUGUCUCUUAUAC